GUAGGGUGCGAGCGUUAAUCGGAAUUACUGGGCGUAAAGCGUGCGCAGGCGGUUCUAUAAGACAGAUGUGAAAUCCCCGGGCUCAACCUGGGAACUGCGUUUGUGACUGUAGGACUUGAGUGUGGCAGAGGGGGGUGGAAUUCCACGUGCAGCAGUGAAAUGCGUAGAGAUGUGGAGGAACACCGAUGGCGAAGGCAGCCCCCUGGGUCAACACUGACGCUCAUGCACGAAAGCGUGGGGAGCAAACAGGAUUAGAUACCCUGGUAGUCCACGCCCUAAACGAUGCGAACUAGGUGUUGGGGAAGGAGACUUUCUUAGUACCGCAGCUAACGCGUGAAGUUCGCCGCCUGGGGAGUACGGUCGCAAGAUUA
This 371-nucleotide ribosomal RNA is filed under the name uncultured bacterium. Its description in RNAcentral is "bacterial SSU rRNA". It matches the Rfam family "Bacterial small subunit ribosomal RNA", at positions 527 to 896 of the family's 1533-position model. The record is from RNAcentral.